RNAcentral lists this long non-coding RNA (235 nucleotides) under Elaeis guineensis (African oil palm). Its description in RNAcentral is "long non-coding RNA (EGUI_LNC067352)". The record is from RNAcentral. Lineage: Eukaryota; Viridiplantae; Streptophyta; Magnoliopsida; Arecales; Arecaceae.
AGUAAGGGGAGUAUCACAAAUUUUGAUAAAAUUAAAAUUAAAUUAAACAUAAUUUUCAUACUCACGGGGAGUAUGUGUAAAUCGAUAUGUUGAGUAUGCAAUGAUAGAAAGUAAAGUUGAUAAAAUCUAAAUGCAUAUAUACAAAUAAUUAAAAAUGAAGUGAAUUUGAAAUUUGAAGGAAAGGCAUACUUAAAAGAUUUUAUCAUCAUCAAAAAGGGAGAGAUUGUUGACCCCG